RNAcentral lists this ribosomal RNA (542 nucleotides) under Lodderomyces parapsilosis. RNAcentral describes it as "Candida parapsilosis partial large subunit ribosomal RNA". It matches the Rfam family "Eukaryotic large subunit ribosomal RNA", at positions 37 to 585 of the family's 3401-position model. The record is from RNAcentral. Lineage: Eukaryota; Fungi; Ascomycota; Pichiomycetes; Serinales; Debaryomycetaceae.
UGCAUAUCAAUAAGCGGAGGAAAAGAAACCAACAGGGAUUGCCUUAGUAGCGGCGAGUGAAGCGGCAAAAGCUCAAAUUUGAAAUCUGGCACUUUCAGUGUCCGAGUUGUAAUUUGAAGAAGGUAUCUUUGGGUCUGGCUCUUGUCUAUGUUUCUUGGAACAGAACGUCACAGAGGGUGAGAAUCCCGUGCGAUGAGAUGUCCCAGACCUAUGUAAAGUUCCUUCGAAGAGUCGAGUUGUUUGGGAAUGCAGCUCUAAGUGGGUGGUAAAUUCCAUCUAAAGCUAAAUAUUGGCGAGAGACCGAUAGCGAACAAGUACAGUGAUGGAAAGAUGAAAAGAACUUUGAAAAGAGAGUGAAAAAGUACGUGAAAUUGUUGAAAGGGAAGGGCUUGAGAUCAGACUUGGUAUUUUGUAUGUUACUCUCUCGGGGGUGGCCUCUACAGUUUACCGGGCCAGCAUCAGUUUGAGCGGUAGGAUAAGUGCAAAGAAAUGUGGCACUGCUUCGGUAGUGUGUUAUAGUCUUUGUCGAUACUGCCAGCUUA